Molecule: ribosomal RNA, 397 nt
Filed under: uncultured bacterium
Lineage: Bacteria
Description: partial 16S ribosomal RNA
Rfam family: Bacterial small subunit ribosomal RNA
Source: RNAcentral
AUACGUAGGGGGCGAGCGUUGUCCGGAAUGAUUGGGCGUAAAGGGCGCGUAGGCGGCCCGGUAAGUCUGGAGUGAAAGUCCUGUUUUUGAGAUGGGAAUUGCUUUGGAUACUGUCGGGCUUGAGUGCAGGAGAGGUAAGUGGAAUUCCCAGUGUAGCGGUGAAAUGCGUAGAGAUUGGGAGGAACACCAGUGGCGAAGGCGACUUACUGGACUGUAACUGACGCUGAGGCGCGAAAGUGUGGGGAGCAAACAGGAUUAGAUACCCUGGUGGUCCACACUGUAAACGAUGAAUGCUAGGUGUAGGGGGUAUCGACCCCUUCUGUGCCGCAGUCAACACAAUAAGCAUUCCGCCUGGGGAGUACGGCCGCAAGGUUGAAACUCAAAUGAAUUGACGGGG